AUGGCGGUUGCGUCCGCCGUCUCCUCCUCUUCGAGGGCGCUGGGAUCUCACCGCGACGUCCCCGCCCAUAGCUUCUCGGCCGAGGCAUUCUCCUCGUCCUGGUCGCGCCCCGUCGAAGCGAGGCCGGUGUCGUGUGGCGGCGGCGGCGGCGGCGGCGAGGAUGACGUGCUCGACCUGGACUCCCCGUGGGUGGCGGAGGGCGAGGCGGAAUCGAGGUUGGAGGCGGCCGCGGCGGCGGGACUUCACCUCCGCGCCGAGGAGGAGGGGGACGAGGAUGAGAUACGAGACAACCGGCAGCGACAUGAGGACGAGUUGAUGGCAUUGGAAGCGAUAUAUGGGGAUGACCUGGUUGAAUUUGAGAGCAAAGAAGGGCUCCAUUAUUUCCAGAUUUACAUACAUUAUGAUCUGCAUGAUGGCGCUGAAGUGUGUGCUAAAUUGUCUUCAGCUAGUGGAAAUCGAAAAGAUGGAUGUCCUAAUGAUUGUACAGAGGAACAUGAUGAUGAACCAGAUGAAUUCUCUUACACGUGCAACUUUGAGCACCUGCCUCCUUUGAUACUGACAUGCUUGCUUCCGAAGUCCUACCCAAGCAAAGACCCCCCAUAUUUUAAUGUCACUGCUAAAUGGAUGGAUGGGCAUAAUGUUUCUCAACUCUGUGAGAUGCUUGACACCAUUUGGGCAGAGCUACCAGGGCAAGAAGUGGUAUACCAGUGGGUUGAGUGGAUACGUAACUCUUCUUUGUCAUAUCUCCUGUUUGAUGGUAAAAUCACAUUGGGUUCAGAUUGUCCAACCCACAAAGGAGAUAACCGUGCAAUCUCAAGAAAUCUCUCACUGGAGUCUGUGAUCCCUUCAAUGCUUAAUUACAGCAGUAAGAAGCAGUACGAAGCUUUUCUCGAGAAUCUCCAUACAUGCAGGAUAUGCCUUAACCAGAGCAAAGGUUCAAACUUCGUCAGGCUUCCAUGCCAGCACUUAUUUUGUGUGAAAUGCAUGGAGACCUUAUGCAGGAUGCAUGUGAAGGAAGGUACCGUGUUUCAUUUGGUGUGCCCUGAGACGAAAUGCAAUGCUUCUAUUCCACCAUAUCUGUUGAAGAGGCUUCUGAGGGAAGAAGAGUUCCAACGUUGGGAUAGGCUUGCUCUUGAGAAAGCAUUGGACUCGAUGUCAGAUGUGGUUUACUGUCCCAAGUGUGCGAUCGGUUGCUUGGAAGAUGAGGAUAACAAUGCACAAUGUCCAAAAUGUUCCUUUAUCUUCUGCUCGUUUUGCAAGGACCCACGCCAUCCAGGGAAACAGUGUCUAACUGCAGAACAAAAGCUCCAGCGCAAACAGGCGUCAGGCAGGAUGACUGAGUGGGAGAUGGUAAAAGAAAUGCUGAGUAUAAAAAAGCUGUACAGAGAUGCUAUAUUAUGUCCAAAAUGCAAGAUGCCCAUCAGCAGAACUGAAGGGUGCAACAAAAUAGAGUGCGGCAACUGUGGUCAGUUCUUGUGCUUCCGCUGUGGCAAGGCCAUAACUGGAUAUGAUCAUUUCAGGAGUAAAGGCUGUCAGCUCUUUGCGCCUGUUGACAAUGACACGACGGUGUGGCAGAGGCAAAUGGAAGUGCUGAAAAAUGAAAGAGGCAUGCGAGCUCAGAGGCGCCAGGUAGCUGGAAGCGAUACCGUGAAGUGUCCAAAAUGCCGUCAAGAAGUACUCAAGGAUGAUGAUAAAUACAUUUACUGCUGGACGUGCCGAGCUAGCUAUUCCACACAGUCCAAGCAGCACGGGCAGGGCAGCAGCAGGUCGAGGAUGCGAGGCAAAGGGGCCAUCAAGGAUGAUCAGGGGGAUGCAUGA
Molecule: ribosomal RNA, 1818 nt
Filed under: Triticum aestivum (bread wheat)
Lineage: Eukaryota; Viridiplantae; Streptophyta; Magnoliopsida; Poales; Poaceae
Description: partial small subunit ribosomal RNA
Source: RNAcentral